AAUUACAAGACAACAUAUCUCUAAUAAUAAUCAAGACAUAAUCUAUAAACUUAGAUUAAUUAAACAUGUCAAGAAUUAACCAUAGAGAUAAAUAAUCAAACAUAUAAAUAUAUAUUAAUCACAAAUAAGAAACCUCUUACUUGAAUGGAGUGACUUUAAUCAUAUAACUGACUAGAGAAAACCUUCCAUCAAACCAUUUUCUUUGUAAUUCCACAAGAAAUAUCACCAUCUUCGUUUCCAUCUCCAUACCAAGAUCUUCACCCUCGAACUUGUUCAAUUUCUGGAAAUUCGUCAUCAUACCCUUCACAUUUGCCAUCUUUGUAGAAAUUAUACUUUUGGAUUGUUGGGGAUUUUGUGUUUAACAAGGGUCACAAAGAAAGCAAAUGAAAUCACAAGUAUAAUUUCAACCCUAUACUACAACCCUAUACUACAACCGGAUUUUCGAGGCGUGAACGAGAUCACUUUCCCAAAAGUAUAAUUUCAACCCUAUACUACAACCGGAUUUUCGAGGCGUGAACGGGAUCACUUUCCCAAAAGUAUAAUUUCAACCCUAUACUACAACCGGGUUUCACGGAAAUUUACUUAGGAGAUACAACGAAGAACAAUUGCAAUCACAAGUAGGAUGAUUACAAUUCAAUGUAUAAAAGCUUUUGGAUUUAUGAUGAUGAUAAAAAUAUUGCAAUUGUUUUUCUCAAGAAAGAAAAGUAAAGAAAACAACUUUUCCUCUUCAAAAAGAUACUGACACAUAUGUUCCUAUGAACAUAUUUAUAUCAAAACAAAAGAAACCAAAAGCCACAAAGAAAAACUGCCAUCAACGAUUACAAAUAACCGUCAUUGAACAACCAGCCUACACAUGCGCUCGAUCGGGCUGCUGCCGCUCGAUCGGGCGGAUUGGAGUGACGGAAAUGGGUUGCUCUCGCGCCCUAUCGGGCGGUGGUGGCCCGAUCGAGCGAGAAACCCAGCAAUUUGCAUCAUUGUUCUCGCGCCCUAUCGGGCGGUGGAUGCCCGAUCGGCCCGGGCGGCUGAGAAGGUUUUCAGAUACACCCUCUUGCGCCCAGUCGGGCGGCUGACCGGGCACAUAAAGGGCUGCAAAUCAAGAUUAGCUUCUUUCGCUCUAUAAUUGUUGCCUUGUUGGGCAAUGGGGUGAAGGCGUGAAGCUUUUUUACACAAAAGGUUUUGCGAGACACAAAAGGUUUUAUUCCAUCACAUUGUAAUAAACUGCUUAAACUUCAUAUGCCCAUUAUUGGAGAGGUGAAGUAGAUCAGGUCAAAUUUGAAAAUCCGCACAGAGAACAA
Molecule: long non-coding RNA, 1295 nt
Organism: Chenopodium quinoa (quinoa)
Lineage: Eukaryota; Viridiplantae; Streptophyta; Magnoliopsida; Caryophyllales; Amaranthaceae
Exons: 2
Source: RefSeq, a predicted model, not a curated record